GAACGAGAAAGUGGAGCAAUCCAUGAGUAAAGUGGCGCACGGGUGAGUAACACGUGACUAACCUACCCUGGAGUGGGGGAUAACUGAGGGAAACCUUAGCUAAUACCGCAUAAUACCCACGGGUCAAAGGAGCAAUUCGCUCUGGGAGGGGGUCGCGGCCGAUUAGUUAGUUGGCGGGGUAACGGCCCACCAAGACGAUGAUCGGUAUCCGGCCUGAGAGGGCGCACGGACACACUGGAACUGAAACACGGUCCAGACUCCUACGGGAGGCAGCAGUGGGGAAUUUUGCGCAAUGGGGGAAACCCUGACGCAGCAACGCCGCGUGGAGGAUGAAGUCCCUCGGGACGUAAACUCCUUUCGAUCGGGACGAUAAUGACGGUACCGGAAGAAGAAGCCCCGGCUAACUUCGUGCCAGCAGCCGCGGUAAUACGAGGGGGGCGAGCGUUGUUCGGAAUUAUUGGGCGUAAAGGGUGCGUAGGCGGUUUUGUAAGUCUUAUGUGAAAUCUAUGGGCUCAACUCAUAGACUGCAUGAGAAACUGCAGGGCUCGAGUGUGGGAGAGGUGAGUGGAAUUUCCGGUGUAGCGGUGAAAUGCGUAGAUAUCGGAAGGAACACCUGUGGCGAAAGCGGCUCACUGGACCACACCUGACGCUGAUGCACGAAAGCUAGGGGA
This 671-nucleotide ribosomal RNA is filed under the name uncultured forest soil bacterium. Its description in RNAcentral is "bacterial SSU rRNA". It matches the Rfam family "Bacterial small subunit ribosomal RNA", at positions 64 to 767 of the family's 1533-position model. The record is from RNAcentral.